UCCUUUCCUUUCUUUCCUUUUCCUUUCUUUUCUUUAAUUUUGCUUUUCCUUUCUUUCCUUUUUUCUCUUUUCUUUCUUUUCUUUCUUUCAUUUUCCUUUCUUUUAUUCCAUUUCCCUUUUCCUUUCUUUUCUUUCCUUUUCCUAUCCCUUUCUUUCCCUUUUCCUUUUCUUCCUUUUCUUUCUUUUACCUUUUCCUUGCCCCUUUCCUCCCUCCCACCCCCGCAGAGGCCAUGGCGGAGCGCAGCGCCCGGCGGAGCCCGCAGGGUUAUGGGGAGACUGCAGAACGAAGAGGACCGGGCAGAUAAUGCAAUGCAGUUGGUUGGAACUAUUAAAAAUAUUUGUCAUAUUUAAUGGGGUUUCUCUUGAUUGAGUGUGAGAAGGACCUGCAGGGACAGAGAAGAUAUCUGCAUACAGAAAUUCAAAUGAUCUUCAGCAAUGCCGUGGUCACAGUGAUGCUGCAAGACCAUGACAUGCAAAUGUGGUGGAAUUUGCUGCAUUGCUUUUUUUUCACUUUUCUAUUUCCAAGCUUAAGAUUAGCAUUAGGUUUUCACUAACUGGCUCCAUGCGAAUGAAACGCAUUUAGAAAACACUUUGAGAAAAGAAUUUAAAGGCUAUCACCUGUAAAUUACAAGGUCAGAAUAUUCAUCAUCGUCCUUUGAAAUGCUCUCUGUGUUGGUAUUGCAGGUUAUGUCUGAAAUUUUGCCAGGUUUGAAGUCUGUAUGUUUUAGAAUUACAAAAUAAAGCAAACAAAACUCCCCCAACUGAUCUCUUAACCUGA
Long non-coding RNA from Cygnus olor (mute swan), 778 nucleotides. RefSeq lists it as uncharacterized. The transcript has 3 exons. Lineage: Eukaryota; Metazoa; Chordata; Aves; Anseriformes; Anatidae. The record is from RefSeq and is a predicted model, not a curated record.